AUCCCGCCCACUAGAUAUAUGUCACACUGGCAGCGUCGCCUUUCUAUUUGUAGUCUUAGUGGCCUCCAUCAUACUUAAUGGAAGAAGUUUAUUAUUAUUAUAUGUAGUCUGAAUCCGUGGAGCUGCAGGGAUUUGUAGUCUUUGUGGCCUCCAUCAUACUUAAUGGAAGAAGUUUAUUAUUAUUAUUAUUAUUUGUAGUCUUGCAUUUUGUCUACUUUGAUGCUAAAUAGCAUGAUCGGAUCCGUGAAUAAAGGAUCCCCAUUAGUUCCUGCCAAGGCAGCAGCUACUUCCUGGGGUACAGCAAAAUAAAGGCAGUUAUACAAUAUUAAAAACAUUACAAUACAUUCACAACACACGGUGUGGAAUCAGUCACCUUGUCCUAGAGAGAUUCACAUGGUUAUCAAAACGUCACACCAGGGUAAGCCUAAACAAACACAGCCCUAUGGAAAAAUGAAUGGUGGAAAAACGAUUGGCGCCAUUUCCCUGUUUGACCUCUAGUUGUUAUGGAUAUUAUGACUCUACAGCGCCCCAAAGUGGACGUGUCAAAAUAUGUUACAUUGAUAAAGCACACUUUAUUUAACCUCAAUGUCAUUCUCUCAUGCUCCUUCAGUCUCCCUAACUGGGUACAACUCUUUCCACAAUGGGAUCAUUAGAAAGGCUUUUCUCCUGUGCGUGUCCUCUCAUGCCUUUCCACGCUCCCAACCCACCUAAACCUCUUUCCACACAAGGAGCAGUGGUAAGGAUUCUCUUCUGUGUGUAUUCUCUUAUGUGUUUUCAGGCUCCCUAACUGAGAUUAAUCUAGACUAGAUCCCUCAAUCACUUGAACACCACAAGGAGGCGCUAGAGCCCGAUGGGACAAGGACGUCCCAGCCGGGCAAACCCUCCCCUAAUUUGGACGACACUGGGCCAAUUGAGAUACAGCCUGGAUUAGAACCAGGGAUUGUAGGGACUCCUCUUGCACGGAGAUGCAGUGCCUUAGAAUGCUGGCCCACUUGGGAGGCCCUGCUUAAAUAUUUAUAUCCCGGAGUCUGACAUCGUUCUGAUAUUUCUUCAUUUCUUUCUUGUUAUUUUGGGGAUUUGUGUGUGUAUUGAUUUGUAUUGGUAGGUAUUACUGCACUGUUGGAGCUAUAAGCAUCAGCAUUUCGCUGCACCUCUGAUAACAUCCGUAAAAUAUGUGUAAGCAACCAAAAACAUUUGAUGACAAGUCUGAUUUAUUUGGAAAGUUUUUAGGCUGUAGAGACCACUAUAAUAAAAUAUAUUGUGGACUACAGUAUUUAACUAAAAUAAUAUAUUGGAUGCAUGAUUAAUGUGUUUUGUUGGUGGCCCGCUCUUUGAUGGUAUCUACUAGAUUAUACGUCACACUAGCCGCGUCGCCUGAAAGACGCACAUCGCCAUCUGCAGACACGCCUGCUGACGCAGUGGAGGGAAAAGUUAUGUUUUUUUAUUUUUUAUUAUUAAAUAAUAAUAUUACAUUGAGACAUCCCGAAAUGGGAUGAACUACCUGAAAUUGUCCAAUAACAAUCAGAUUUGUGUUUUGUUGCAAAAUGUUUGUGUGCCCUAAAUCCCAUCUUGGAUUAAUGAUUCACAGAGACUUCUCAUUCCUAACUCACAAUAUUGAACUAACUUGUUAUAGUAUUUAGUAAUUGUUAUGGAUUACUGGGUCGAUCUUCUAGAGUACAGAUGUUACCAUUUUUACAGAUGCACGUGUUGAUUAGUGCAGAUUUUAAUCAGUGAGAAUCAAAUUUGACAUCUGACAUCUACAUCCACUUGACAUUGCAUUUUUAAGAAUGUUUCUGAUUAAUUCAGUCAAACUAACAGAAAAUAAUAAAUAAGCAGCGACGUCACAAUACAUCAUGUAGAUGUAUAUAAAGAACAGACUAGGUCUAUACUGCUCCUACAUGGUGUAACAAUACAUCAUGUAGAUGUAUAUAAUGAACAGACUAGGUCUAUACUGCUCCUACAUGGUGUAAUAAUACAUCAUGUAGAUGUAUAUAAUGAACAGACUAGGUCUAUACUGCUCCUACAUGGUGUAAUAAUACAUCAUGUAGAUGUAUAUAAUGAACAGACUAGGUCUAUACUGCUCCUACAUGGUGUAACAAUACAUAAUGUGCGGCUUUAAGGCAAUGCUGUUAGUGUGAGGUAUAAUCUAGUGGAUGGAACGUUUCUUUCAACAGCAGCAACAGUUAGUCAGACACCUCGGUAGCUUGCUAAACAAAAUAGCCGAACCAAUAAAGCUCUUUAGACGCGUUCGUGUAUAUUAGCCACUGUGUUUUAAACCCCCUUAUGUCGUCUAGUUAGUUAUCCGAUUUAAUUUAAUAUUUUCCGUGUUGUUGUCAUUAGUCAGCUAGCGGGCUAGUUAAGUUAGCAUUAGCCUAGCUAGCUAACAUCCCAGACCAUGAGCUCACUAAGCUACUCUCGUCCUGCUAAAGAAGAGUAGGUCUGCUGGACGGAGGAAGAUGGUCUGUGGGUGAACAUUGUCGUGAAAGAGGAAGAGGCUGUCUUAAUACAAAACAAGUAGAGGGUGAGGGUGUUACAGUGAAAGAAGAGGAGGAUGUUACAGUAAAAGGAGAGGAGGAUGCAGUUUAUGGAGUGAAAGAGGAGGAGGGGGAGAUGACUGUUACAUUGAAAAAGGAGGAGGAAGAAGAGGAGGAAACUGGAUAUCUGGGCCCGGUUUCCCAAACGCAUCCGAUGGUUCUAACGGACCUGAACUCUAGGACCAUGCCUCAGGACUACCUGACAUGAUGACUUCUUGCUGUCCCCAGUCCACCUGGCCGUGCUGCUGCUCCAGUUUCAACUGUUUUGCCUGUGAUUAUUAUUAUUUGACCAUGCUGCCUUCCUCUCCUCUCCUCUGAAGACCCAGUGAGGGAGGAGCUCAGUCAGAGAGCUGUUGAGGGACUGAUUAGGAAGAACACUAACAGCCAGAGAGGAACAGUCAAGAAAUGGAACGGCAAGGCCACAGAUCAUGACAUAAGCAGAGCUGUGGGAGAUCACCUCAAGCCCCUGGUGGAGCCGAGGGUGGUGUUUACCACUCCUUCAACAGGCUUGAAAAGUGGGAUUGAUCGAUUUGAUCCAUUUGUUUGUUUCUGUUUUUGAGUAGUUGAAUCCUUUGACAUGGGAUUGAUACUGAUUUUCAUACUAAAGAGGGACCAAGACUCUUUCGAUUGGUCGGUCAUUGGGUUCAUAUAUAGAUCUCCCUCACUAACUUUAAGCAUCAGCUGUCAGAGCAGCUUAACGAUCAUUGCGCCUGUACACAGCCCAUCUGUAAAUAGCCACACCCAACUACGUCAUCCCCGUAUUAUUUAUUUUUGCUCCUUUGAAUCCCAGUAUCUCUACUUGCACAUCUAUCACUCCAGUGUUUAAUUGCUAAAUUGUAAUUAUUUUGCCACUAUGGCCUUACCUCCUUAUUCCAUUUGCACACACUGUAUAUAGAUUUUUCUGUUGUGUACUUUUGUUUAUCCCACGUGUAACUAUGUGUUUUUGUCACACCGCUUUGCUUUUUCUUGGCCAGGUCACAGUUGUAAAUUAGAACUUUAUCUCAACUGGCCUACUUGGUUAUAUAAAGGUGAAAUAAAAAUAACAUUUUGUUGUUGAAAUCAAA
Long non-coding RNA from Oncorhynchus nerka (sockeye salmon), 3598 nucleotides. RefSeq lists it as uncharacterized. The record is from RefSeq and is a predicted model, not a curated record. The transcript is spliced from 4 exons. Lineage: Eukaryota; Metazoa; Chordata; Actinopteri; Salmoniformes; Salmonidae.